RNA transcript from Esox lucius (northern pike), 3084 nucleotides. It is a transcript of the gene named ubiquitin carboxyl-terminal hydrolase 47, with no coding region annotated. The record is from RefSeq and is a predicted model, not a curated record. The transcript is spliced from 13 exons. Lineage: Eukaryota; Metazoa; Chordata; Actinopteri; Esociformes; Esocidae.
CUCUGUGACUUCAGCCCGGGUGAUGGACGAGUCCACCUCUGAGGCCUCAUCCUCCGCUUCCUCAUUGGAAGACAUGACGGCGGGAUUGAGGAGAUCCUCGAAGUACUCCUUCCACCGCCCGACGACAUCCCCAGUUGAGGGGACCCACAUUAAUGUACACACAUUUUAGACCCAUUUUAAUGUAUGCACAUUUUAAAAACGGAAUGUUACAAUAGUAAUACAUAAAAACAUCUGAGUACAAUUCUGAACAUUUGAUAGUUCGUUUUGUGUAAAAAAAACCCAGAUAAUUUAGAGACAAUCAUUCAUUCAAAUAGUCUUAUACAAUAAUUAUUAACACCCUUUUAAACCAGAUUUAACGUACAGCUAAGGUAAGUCUGACCAAAUAAUUUUGGCUCAAGUGUCGUAACAGAUCUUGUCAAAACCCCCUAUGGGCCAUCACUUGUAUACAAUUAGGAAUUUUGCACAUGAGCAGGAAAAUAAUGUCUCCACUCCCAUAAAACAGAUGACAUCACAUGUUAGUUAGUGUAAGGAAGGUACAGGGGAUGUCAAGUGCAGUGUUAGAUGACUUAAAGCCAGGGCUGGUAUUUUUUAUGUAUUCUUUGUAAUUAAAAUAACGUUUAAAGAGAGAGGGUUUUUUGAGACAUUUUCAGAAGAUGGACAGGGACUUAGCUGUCCUGGUACGAUGGAUACUGGGUUUUCCCUAGUGCUGCCAGGACAGAGAAGAACUUCAACCGGGCUGAACAGGAGCUGCCCUCAUAUGGGAAUGAUAACCCAGCAGGCAUCUGUUAUUUUAAAGAAAUGCAUAUACUCAACCAUCCUAACAGCCCACUGCAUGUAGCUGCUGGGUUCUUCGUAAAUCUUGCUCCGUUUGGCUUUUGUUCUCCAUCGCUCAGUGGCCAGAUUUGUAAUUCCUUGAAUCUCCACAAGGAGUGCUAUAUCUGCUCGCAAAUGGGUAGGCAGUUACGUUGAAUGUAAAUCGAAACUGAAAUUUGGAAAAGGCAUGUCUAGCAUUGCUGUGUUUCUCGAAUAGUAAAAAUCUGUGAAAUCGCAGGGAGAGUCUGAGCCAAAGGCAGGUGACUGUCAGAGGGAUGUGAGGGAUCAGGUGGAUGCUGAGGCACCUAUAUAUUGAUUUAUUACUCAGACAAAAAAAUGAACAGAUGAAUUCCCAGCUCAGUCAUCCAAAGAAGAAAGGAUACAAUGAAGACAUUGUAGAGAGGUUUAGAAGGAAACUUGACCUCAUUUUUGAAUACAAAGGCUUAGUUAAUCAAGGGGCAACAUGUUAUUUGAACAGUGUUCUGCAGGUCCUCUUCAUGACCAAAAGCUUCAGAGAGGCUGUGGAAAGUCACUCUGGUAAAAAUCCGAAGACUGUUGAUUUUCAGCUUAAAAGCCUAUUCAAGACUUUAAAGACGAAAGAAACUAACAUAAAGGACAUCUUACCUACACUGAGCAUUGUAAACGUGCAUGAGCAACGUGAUGCUGCAGAGUAUUUAGAGAAACUUUUAAGCAUGGUCAAUCCUGAUUGGUCUAAGAUGUUUAAAGGACAGUUCAGACACACUACCAGAUGUUCAAAAGGUCAUGAGGUCAGUGAUGUAACUGGCCCGUUCUGGACUCUGCCACUUUCAUUGGCUCAUUCAUCAGACAAAUCCUGCAGUGUGAUGGAAGGUUUGGAGGAGCUUUUCAAAUCUUCAAUCGUCAGUGAGAUGUACUGUGACCAAUGUGAAGAAAGAACACAUGCAACCAUUGCAGGUGAGAUGGUGGAGCCCCCAGAGAUUCUCACUCUGUUACUCAAGAGGUUUGAGUUUGACUACCGCAGGAGGUCGUAUGUCAAAAAGGACUGCAGUGUGGAUGUUCCUCACACAUUACAGAUAAAGGACUGUGACUAUGAGCUCUAUGCGGUUGUGGACCAUGUGGGAAGUCUAAGAGGUGGACAUUACACAGCCACAAUCAGGUCCUAUGAGGAUCACAACUGGUAUGUCUUUGAUGACACAUAUGUCCGACUGGCCAGUCAACAAUCAACCAGCCAUGUGGAUAAUGAAAGGUAAAAUCACCACUUGAGGUACUGUGUUUAAAAAAACAUCAGGCUCUGAUAUGACUGUGUUUUGCUGGACCGUGUGUGCGGAGCCUUCCCAUGCAGGCGACCAGUGUUCGAUCCACAUUGCAGACAGAACAAAGUGUGCAUUUGGAUUUGUUCAGGAUGGACAGAAACUUUGCUGGCUUCAAUCUUCUGUAGCUAUGUUAAAUAAUCCCAGAGUCCGUAUCUGCUUAUGUACCAGAAGGAUCAACCAAGAAAGGAAGAAAUUGAGAGAAUAAUGGAAUUGAAGUGUAUGGAAGAGGACUGGAAGAACAUAGAGGAAAAACUGAAAAUAAUAAAAGAACAAUGUAAGAGAAUGAAUGAGAAAUUAAUGGAAAUAAUCAAUAUGGAAUCUAAGAGUAUAUCAGUACAACAGGAGAGAGUACAUGUGGAAUCAAAGACCUGUGAAGACAGCAGUAGAAGUGGUGAAAAGGCCAGUCAUCAUGCCAAUUGUUGUCCAAUGACAACAGAGAAAAAGAAGGGACUUAAAGAGAAUAUAAGAGAAAUUGAAAAGAGUAGGAGAGAAAUUGAAAAGUAUAAAAGAAGGUUUGAAGUCCAUAGAAAUGGAAUCGGACAGUAUGGAAGACAGAGUGAAGAAUAUAGAAAAGGAAUUCAAAAGAAUAGAAGAGCAAUUGAAGAGUGUAGAAAAGGAAUUCAUGAGUGUAAAAGAAAACUUGUCAAGUGUAAAAGAGUAAUUGAACAUAUGGCUGAGUUGGGACCUGACAGACUCCCUGUGGGAAUGAAGGAAAUGACCUGAGGAAGGGAGGCAAAGAGUGCAAUGUAAUAGGUAUGCUAGGAUUCAUUAUAUUAAGUUUUAUUCAGUGGUCUUUUGGUAUUGAAUACAGACUUACAGACCCCAAUAUAAUUCCUGUGCCCUGCACUCUGAACACUCGCAAUGAAAGCUGCAUCAACAAGUACCGAAGAACUGCUGAAGAACUGCCCCAGCUGCAGGGGGUCUCCCACUGCUCCUCUGUUCCUGCCUGUCGCACCUGUGGCCAACAGGUGGAGCACAA